GGGUUUGUGGGAAAUGUGAGGCGAGAGGCUUCGGCGGCGGGAGAAGGGGCUUCGUCCCACCGCCAUCUUUGCGGUGGGUUCUGCUGAAGCCGAACGAUCCUGCAUAUUGUGUUUUUUGUUGUUGUUGUUUUAAGCCCUGGGCUUUCCAGGCUGAACUUUCUCACUACCAUUACACUGAAAAAGAGCCCUUGAAAGUUUUGCUCGGAUCUUGCACAUUCUUUUGGAAGUCUUACUGUGGAAAUUGUCCGUGUUUUCAGCUUCCACAUCCCUUUCUCCUGGGAGAUUUCUUUUCCGUUUUUUUUACUUUGUCUCUUUUCUUUCCUCCGCAACUGCUUUGUUGUUGUUGUUGUUGUUUCUUGUAAACCACUUCUCAAAAGUGAACUAGUUGCCGUUUAAUAGAAGUUUGGAUGAACUGCCCCCAAAAUAAAGGAAAUCCGAACAGUCAUGGAAGUUGACUCCAAUUGGAGGGAUGGCUCUGAUCAAUUACUCUUUCCACAGGAAUUGAACAGCUUGGACUUGGAGACAGUGAGUUAAAACAGAAAUAAGAAGGCGGCAGAAAAAGACUACCAGAUUGAAAUGUGUUGGAUAUUCAUAUCCACCCAGCACCUCAGAAUGUGGCCAUGGAGGAUGGAGACAGAGAUUGGAGUGAUGCAUCUUCAAGCCUAGGAACACUAAGGAUUGCUGGUAAUCACCAGAAGCUGGAAGAGGCAAGAAAGUGUCCUUUCCUAGAGCCUUCAGAGAGAGCGCAGCCCUGCCAACACCUUGAUUAUAUGCUUCAAGCUUCUAGAAUUGUGAGAGAAUAAAUUUCUGUUGUUAUAAGCCA
Homo sapiens (human) is the source of this 823-nucleotide long non-coding RNA. Ensembl annotates it as TNKS2 divergent transcript. Its record names the gene TNKS2-DT. Lineage: Eukaryota; Metazoa; Chordata; Mammalia; Primates; Hominidae. The record is from Ensembl.